Long non-coding RNA from Branchiostoma belcheri (Belcher's lancelet), 1445 nucleotides. RefSeq lists it as uncharacterized. The transcript has 5 exons. NCBI's taxonomy places the organism in Eukaryota, Metazoa, Chordata, Leptocardii, Amphioxiformes, Branchiostomatidae. The record is from RefSeq and is a predicted model, not a curated record.
UGAACAAGGCCGAAAAGGCUAUCAAAGUUUGUUAUGAUAUAAUAACCUAGAAUAUUACCAGGUAAUAUGGGGAUAUAGUCCAUGGGAGACAUAGGAUUUCGGUCCAGAUGUCCAUCAAAUUCUUUCAGGCUUCAGUGUUGAGUCAGCAUAAGUUGAAUCAAGUUGUGGUUGACUUGCCUUGUGCGGAAUAUCCUGGCAGGUGAAGGAACAAUUACUGGCCCUGUUGUACAGUAACUGCUGCAGCUCCUCCCCACCUCAUCCCUGAAAUACAGCAUUGUGUCACAGGGGCUAACUCGUAAGUCCAUAAUUUGAUGAAAAUGACCCCCAGACCACCCUCGGUGAGGAUAUGAAGACUUCAACAGGGUUAAACUCUUGCAGAAGAAUGACACAGACUGCUAAGACGAGUCCAUACCAGUCACCAACCCAGGAAACUGGAAAGCUGACCUGGCACUAUCUCCUGCUCCACCCAGUUGGAGAGAGCAGUGGUCCUUCCCGGUGCCACCUGCUCAGUCCUCACCCCUGUGUGGCCAGGCUUCCACGCUGCUGCCUCACCCAGUUCCGGUGUCAGACUAUGCCUCUACCAGCUGCAGAUUCCAAAGAGUUGAGAAAAAGAAUUACUGUAAAUUUGGAAAUGUUCACAGCGGUUUUAUUUUUAGUAGUGUCAUAACACUUGACACAAAUUUGUUUUGCAUAUCUAUUAUACUGCAGAAUUGUUUUAUUGGUGAACUUCAAACACUGCAAAAUCCACAUGUGCUUUUCCCUCGUACUAGUAAAUUGCAUUUUAAAAGUACCAGGGUCUGCUGGCCCCAAUGGCUUUAGUACAUGUACCACAGCUUAUAGAUGCUAAAAUCUUAUGAAAGAUUGUUGAUAUCUGUCUUGAUAUUUCAGUUUGCUGAGUAGUAAACUAUCAAACUUAGAGCGUCUCCACUUCCAGACCUGCAUUAGCUGACCUUUGUUGCUGUGUGUGUAUUGUUGCGAUGUAAGAUGUAAUCAACCUGCAGAAUCAUAUUUCUUUAUCAUCUUCCCAUUAAUAUAUUGAUUUUUCAGUGCUGACUGUUUGACAGGUAGACCAGGAUUUUGCCAUCAGUGUCCUGUUUAUGUAUGUCAGAGCCCACCUGUUUACCAAACAAAUCACAACUACCUCACAUGAAUGGGAGAAAACUUAAUUGGAACAGACCAGUGCUGGCAUGUUUUAUCCACUACUUAAUCAAUGUCCUCAAAAGCUUCUCUUUUUUUAAGGUACAUGUAUUAAGACAUUUUGGUGCAUUUUCAUAGCUGUAUUGUCCUGAUAUCUUUUUUGUCCUUUGCUGCAGUCUGCGAUGCUUAGAGAAUGUUUAAAACUCUUGAUUUAAUUGUCCAGAAUAACAAGUUUUAACAACUAAAAGUCUGAAACAUUCCAUGUAUAAUGUAGUACAUGUAUAACUUUGCACACAGUCUCUCAUAUC